UCCUGGCUCAGGAUAAACGCUGGCGGCGUGCUUAACACAUGCAAGUCGAACGGAGUACUUCUCCCGAGACCGAGGAAGCUUGCUUCCAAAGAAUCAUUGAAGUACUUAGUGGCGGACGGGUGAGUAACGCGUGGGUAACCUGCCUCACACAGGGGGAUAACAGUUGGAAACGACUGUUAAUACCGCAUAAGCGCACAGUAUCGCAUGAUACAGUGUGAAAAACUCCGGUGGUGUGAGAUGGACCCGCGUCUGAUUAGCUAGUUGGUGAGGUAACGGCCCACCAAGGCGACGAUCAGUAGCCGGCCUGAGAGGGUGUACGGCCACAUUGGGACUGAGACACGGCCCAAACUCCUACGGGAGGCAGCAGUGGGGAAUAUUGCACAAUGGGGGAAACCCUGAUGCAGCGACGCCCGCGUGAGUGAUGAAGUAUCUCGGUAUGUAAAGCUCUAUCAGCAGGGAAGAUAAUGACGGUACCUGACUAAGAAGCACCGGCUAAAUACGUGCCAGCCGCCGC
Molecule: ribosomal RNA, 514 nt
Filed under: uncultured bacterium
Lineage: Bacteria
Description: bacterial SSU rRNA
Rfam family: Bacterial small subunit ribosomal RNA
Source: RNAcentral